Molecule: ribosomal RNA, 301 nt
Filed under: uncultured bacterium
Lineage: Bacteria
Description: partial 16S ribosomal RNA
Rfam family: Bacterial small subunit ribosomal RNA
Source: RNAcentral
CAGUCGCCACGGUAAUACGUAGGUGGCAAGCGUUGUCCGGAAUUAUUGGGCGUAAAGGGCUCGCAGGCGGUUUCUUAAGUCUGAUGUGAAAGCCCCCGGCUCAACCGGGGAGGGUCAUUGGAAACUGGGAAACUUGAGUGCAGAAGAGGAGAGUGGAAUUCCACGUGUAGCGGUGAAAUGCGUAGAGAUGUGGAGGAACACCAGUGGCGAAGGCGACUCUCUGGUCUGUAACUGACGCUGAGGAGCGAAAGCGUGGGGAGCGAACAGGAUUAGAUACCCCUGUAGUCCCUGUCUCUUAUAA